GCCAAUAGUAGUGGCCAGUAAACCUCCGCAAGCAAGUAGCCAUCUGCCUGCCUGUAGUUCAAGCUCUGUUCCUUGUGAUGGCUCUACAAACAUUUUGAGGAACAUUAUGAGGGAAGUAUCUCUUUAAUGACAUGGUCACUUCCCAGCAACAAAACCCGGAAGCAGAACUCUGAAAAGUGACUCCACAAGAGGUACAGAUGGCAGAGCCAGCUGCUGAGACACACAGGACACACCCUUGGGCAAAUCACUUGAGAGCAUCUCAACAUGUUCUACAGUGUCACAUACCGCUGGCAGCACACCCAAAGGAUCCAGUGAGGACCGACGGAAGCAUCAACUGACAGCUGUUGUUGUGGGAAAAAAGGGUGGCUGCCGAGGAACUUGGGAAGUCCAACAAUUCAGGAUUAGGCCAGCAGAUGGAAAGGAGAUUUGCAAUCUUAUCAAAAGGCUAAGGAAUCUACUAAUGAUAUAGAACAGUCUAUCAUCACCGUUAUCUCAAAAUCGAGAUGGGCAAUUUCUAAAUUUAAAACUGGUCACCACAGAUGUGUGUUUAUGGUGUCUGCUGCACCUGGGUAGAAAAGAUAUGUCAGUAUCUUUUCAGUAAUAAUCCCUAUUUAAAUUUGUUGCAUGAGGACAAUGAUUAAAAUUUUAUUAGAGAAUUUGUUAACAACAAUAAAAAACAUUUGUUUCAUUACAUAUUUUCAAAACAAAGAAACAAACAAAAAAACAAGCAAUAUACAGUUUUUUGCCCACCACCAGAUGGGACUUAUUUGCAUGCACAUAGAUUUAAAACAUUUUUCUUUGCUUGCUCACACUUCAAUAUGUGUGUGUGUGUG
Molecule: long non-coding RNA, 833 nt
Organism: Podarcis raffonei (Aeolian wall lizard)
Lineage: Eukaryota; Metazoa; Chordata; Lepidosauria; Squamata; Lacertidae
Exons: 4
Source: RefSeq, a predicted model, not a curated record